UACGUAGGCAGCAAGCGUUGUUCGGAAUUACUGGGCGUAAAGAGUGUGUAGGCGGUGCUCUAAGUUCGGUGUGAAAUCUCCCGGCUUAACUGGGAGGGGGCGCCGGAAACUGGAGUGCUUGAGCGCGGGAGAGGAAAGCGGAAUUCCUGGUGUAGCGGUGAAAUGCGUAGAUAUCAGGAGGAACACCUGUGGUGUAGACGGCUUUCUGGACCGUAGCUGACGCUGAGACACGAAAGCGUGGGUAGCAAACAGG
This 253-nucleotide ribosomal RNA is filed under the name uncultured bacterium. RNAcentral describes it as "partial 16S ribosomal RNA". It matches the Rfam family "Bacterial small subunit ribosomal RNA", at positions 524 to 776 of the family's 1533-position model. The record is from RNAcentral.